AUUGCUUCUCGGCUUUUUGGCUAAGAUCAAGUGUAGUAUCUGGCAUAUUUGGCAUUAAUAAUAAGUAGGUUUGUUAUUUUAGCCGACAAGUCCUGUAUUUUGCUUUUUAAGAUUCUUAACUGAACCUGAUAAUUAUUACACAUUUUGUUCAUCAGGUUGAGAAUA
The sequence is a small nuclear RNA, 165 nucleotides long. Its record names the gene U2. It matches the Rfam family "U2 spliceosomal RNA". From Rfam's summary of the family: U2 is a small nuclear RNA (snRNA) component of the spliceosome (involved in pre-mRNA splicing). Complementary binding between U2 snRNA (in an area lying towards the 5' end but 3' to hairpin I) and the branchpoint sequence (BPS) of the intron results the bulging out of an unpaired adenosine, on the BPS, which initiates a nucleophilic attack at the intronic 5' splice site, thus starting the first of two transesterification reactions that mediate splicing. The record is from Ensembl.